Ictalurus punctatus (channel catfish) is the source of this 238-nucleotide long non-coding RNA. RefSeq lists it as uncharacterized. The transcript has 3 exons. The record is from RefSeq and is a predicted model, not a curated record. NCBI's taxonomy places the organism in Eukaryota, Metazoa, Chordata, Actinopteri, Siluriformes, Ictaluridae.
GGCAAGCUCAGCCUUCAUAUUACUGAACACACGGUCCCCAAAUAAAUAGAAAUAGGAGGACAGAUUGAGUGGAAAACACAGCUGAUGUUUUGAACAGCCCAAAUGGCAGAGGGAGAAAGAUGACACAGUGUAGCAUGCAAACAACAGCACGAGAGAGAAAGGGAAAGAAAGCCAGAAAGCGAGGAAACUCCUCAAGCUCAGCAGUCAUGCUCUUGGACCUUGGCGUGAGCGUGGUGCU